This is a microRNA precursor of Pan paniscus (pygmy chimpanzee), 84 nucleotides long. The record is from Ensembl. Lineage: Eukaryota; Metazoa; Chordata; Mammalia; Primates; Hominidae.
UAUUAGGUUGGUGCAAAAGUAAUUGCGGUUUUUGCCAUCACUUGCAAUGGCAAAAACCACAAUUACUUUUGCACCAACCUAAUA